This 465-nucleotide ribosomal RNA is filed under the name uncultured bacterium. RNAcentral's name for it is "partial 16S ribosomal RNA". It matches the Rfam family "Bacterial small subunit ribosomal RNA", at positions 338 to 795 of the family's 1533-position model. The record is from RNAcentral.
CCUACGGGGGACAGCAGUAGGGAAUCUUCCACAAUGGGCGAAAGCCUGAUGGAGCAACGCCGCGUGGGUGAAGAAGGUCUUCGGAUCGUAAAACCCUGUUGUUAGAGAAGAAAGUGCGUGAGAGUAACUGUUCACGUUUCGACGGUAUCUAACCAGAAAGCCACGGCUAACUACGUGCCAGCAGCCGCGGUAAUACGUAGGUGGCAAGCGUUAUCCGGAUUUAUUGGGCGUAAAGGGAACGCAGGCGGUCUUUUAAGUCUGAUGUGAAAGCCUUCGGCUUAACCGGAGUAGUGCAUUGGAAACUGGGAGACGUGAGUGCAGAAGAGGAGAGUGGAACUCCAUGUGUAGCGGUGAAAUGCGUAGAUAUAUGGAAGAACACCAGUGGCGAAGGCGGCUCUCUGGUCUGUAACUGACGCUGAGGUUCGAAAGCGUGGGUAGCAAACAGGAUUAGAUACCCUUGUAGUC